Amphiprion ocellaris (clown anemonefish) is the source of this 703-nucleotide long non-coding RNA. RefSeq lists it as uncharacterized. The transcript has 3 exons. NCBI's taxonomy places the organism in Eukaryota, Metazoa, Chordata, Actinopteri, Pomacentridae. The record is from RefSeq and is a predicted model, not a curated record.
UACACGUGGUUUUCUUUCCAGCACAGGGAAAGACGACCACGGGUUGUGACCUAUUACAAUCAGCUGCAUGAGGUGGAAGAGAAAAUGCCCUGCAAGCACUUUGAUCUCAACGUCACUUUUGAAGGAUCCAGCGCAGGGCUCUAGGACCCAGAGACGUCAGGAUGGUGGUUCUUGAUAUCAGUCUACCAACUGGAUUCACCCCAGAAAACUCUGACCUGGAGAUGCUGUCCAAUUCAGUGCAUCGUUACAUCAGUAACUUCCAGAUUGUAGACAACCUGAGUGACAGAGGCUCCCUGAUCAUUCACCUGUUCAAAGUAACAUCACUGUAUUUAUAAUUAUUAUUCUAUAUCAUAUCAUUUUAUGUUAUUCAUAUGCUUUUCUUUUUUUCCAAGAAGCAGGUUUCUCAAUGCUCAGUAAAUAAGUCUUUAUGACCACAGUCAACAAUCUGAGGCAGUUUUAGGCUAUUACACAAAACCAGCUUAUUGGUACCAAAGCCACGGUUCAGAACUCAGACUUGCUAAAUCAGUGUUAGUGUAGUGCAGUGUAGGGCUGCAGCCAGAGUACUGAGGAUAGUUAGCAAGAGAGAUCAUAUUUCUCCUAUGCUGGUUUCUCUUCAUUGGCUUCCUGUGAAAUGUAGAAUAGAAUUCAAAAUCCUUCUUCUGACAUAUAAAGCUCUUAACAACCACUCUCCAUCAUAUCUUAA